CCUACGGGAGGCAGCAGUGGGGAAUUUUGGACAAUGGGCGCAAGCCUGAUCCAGCAAUGCCGCGUGAGUGAAGAAGGCCUUCGGGUUGUAAAGCUCUUUUGUCAGGGAAGAAACGGUGUUUUCUAAUACAGAAUGCUAAUGACGGUACCUGAAGAAUAAGCACCGGCUAACUACGUGCCAGCAGCCGCGGUAAUACGUAGGGUGCAAGCGUUAAUCGGAAUUACUGGGCGUAAAAGCGUGCGCAGGCGGUUUUUGUAAGUCUGUCGUGAAAAUCCCCGGGCUCAACCUGGGAAUGGCGAUGGAGACUGCAAGGCUAGAGUUUGGCAGAGGGGGGGUAGAAUUCCACGUGUAGCAGUGAAAAUGCGUAGAUAUGUGGAGGAACACCGAUGGCGAAGGCAGCCCCCUGGGUCAAGAACUGACGCUCAUGCACGAAAAGACGUGGGGAGGCAAAACAAGGAAUUAGAUAACCCUGGUAGUUCCACGCCCUAAACGAACUAGUCUACUAAGUUGUCGGGUUCGUUAAUUAGUAUUAGGUUAACGGUACGAAGCGAACGACGACGAGAAGAAGACCGACCGGACGGACGGGUACGGGACGGACGAGAAAGUAAAAGUAAAAGUUAAAAGUAAAGUAAGUAGUAGAGAGAGACGACGACGACGACGACGGAGGAGGAGGAGNG
RNAcentral lists this ribosomal RNA (677 nucleotides) under uncultured bacterium. RNAcentral's name for it is "bacterial SSU rRNA". The stretch from base 1 to 512 matches the Rfam family "Bacterial small subunit ribosomal RNA", at positions 338 to 873 of the family's 1533-position model. The record is from RNAcentral.